Molecule: ribosomal RNA, 492 nt
Filed under: uncultured bacterium
Lineage: Bacteria
Description: partial 16S ribosomal RNA
Rfam family: Bacterial small subunit ribosomal RNA
Source: RNAcentral
AGUGAACGCUGGCGGUAGGCCUAACACAUGCAAGUCGAACGGCAGCACAGUAAGAGCUUGCUCUUACGGGUGGCGAGUGGCGGACGGGUGAGGAAUACAUCGGAAUCUACUUUUUCGUGGGGGAUAACGUAGGGAAACUUACGCUAAUACCGCAUACGACCUACGGGUGAAAGCAGGGGAUCUUCGGACCUUUCGCGAUUGUAUGAGCCGAUGUCGGAUUAGCUAGUUGGCGGGGUAAAGGCCCACCAAGGCUACGAUCCGUAGCUGGUCUGAGCGGAAGAUCAGGCAGACUGGCAGUGAGAAAGGCCAGAGACUCUGACAGUAGGCAGCAGUGGAGAAUAUUACGGAAGGGGGGAGAGCGUGAUCCAGCCAUACCGCGUGAGGGAAGAAGCAGUUAGGGUGCGAAAACCAUGUUGUUGGGAAAGAAGAACAACUGUUUAAUCGCGGACGAUUCUGACGGUACCCGAAGAAGAAGCACCGGCUAACUUCGUG